Transfer RNA from Ascochyta rabiei, 107 nucleotides. It matches the Rfam family "tRNA". From Rfam's summary of the family: Transfer RNA (tRNA) molecules are approximately 80 nucleotides in length. The record is from Rfam. Lineage: Eukaryota; Fungi; Ascomycota; Dothideomycetes; Pleosporales; Didymellaceae.
GGGCUCGUGGUUUAGUGGUAUAAUACUCCCUUAGCAUCUCGCAGCUUCAUCGAAGCUUUCGAAAUCCUGACUGGGAGUGGUCCGGGGUUCGAUUCCCCGCGAGUCCA